Molecule: long non-coding RNA, 378 nt
Organism: Bos taurus (domestic cattle)
Lineage: Eukaryota; Metazoa; Chordata; Mammalia; Artiodactyla; Bovidae
Source: Ensembl
GGGUUGCCAUUUUCUUCUCCAGCUUUAACUCAAGAGAUUUCUGUUAACUCCUGCUAAGUGGCCUAGGUGGAAGAAGUUCAGCAGAGUGCUCAGCAAGAGCAGCAAACAACUGGGACCUGAAGAAGAGAUAAUAUCUCAGGAGAGAAAGAGAGACUCAGAUGCGUGAAACAGAGAUGGUUUGAGGAGAAAGGAGGGAAGGAUGAGUUGAGACCUUACGGAUGAUUUAGGACUGUGGCAAAGCCCCAAACUGAAAGCCUGAAAUCCCCAAAUUCAUCUCCUAUUUGCUACUUCACUAUAUAUUCACCCUUUCCCAGACUAGAACAAGAGGGAGAUGCUUUUAGAUGGUUGUAUAGAAAUAAAUUUUUCUUAUCUACCCGA